Molecule: unclassified non-coding RNA, 334 nt
Filed under: soil metagenome
Description: partial contains 5.8S ribosomal RNA, internal transcribed spacer 2, and large subunit ribosomal RNA
Rfam family: 5.8S ribosomal RNA (bases 3-119)
Source: RNAcentral
GAGAAGAACGUAGCGAAAUGCGAUAAGUAAUGUGAAUUGCAGAAUUCAGUGAAUCAUCGAAUCUUUGAACGCACAUUGCGCCCAUUAGCAUUCUAGUGGGCAUGCCUGUUCGAGCGUCAUUUCAACCCUUAAGCCCUGUUGCUUAGCGUUGGGAGCCUACAGUACUGUAGCUCCCCAAAGUUAGUGGCGGAGUCGGUUUCACACUCUAGACGUAGUAAUUUUUUCUCGUCUGUAGUUGAGCCGGUCCCCUGCCGUAAAACACCCAAUUUAUCAAGGUUGACCUCGGAUCAGGUAGGAAUACCCGCUGAACUUAAGCAUAUCAAUAAGCGGAGGA